AAGCGGAAAAGCUCAAAUUUGAAAUCUGGCAGUCUAUUUUUUCUUCUUUGGCUGUCCGAGUUGUAAUCUAGAGAAGUGCUUACCUGCACUGGACCAUGUAUAAGUCUCCUGGAAUGGAGCGUCACAGAGGGUGAGAAUCCCGUCUUUGACAUGGACUGCCAGUGUGUUGUGGUGUGCUCUCAAAGAGUCGAGUUGUUUGGGAAUGCAGCUCUAAAUGGGUGGUAAACUCCAUCUAAAGCUAAAUAUUGGCGAGAGACCGAUAGCGAACAAGUACCGUGAGGGAAAGAUGAAAAGGACUUUGGAAAGAGAGUUAAACAGUAUGUGAAAUUGUUGAAAGGGAAACGCUUGAAGUCAGUUAUGUUGGCUAGGGAUCAACCUAGCUGUCUUUUGCUGGGUGAAUUUCCUAGUCUGACAGGCCAACAUCAGUCUUGACUGCUGGAAAAGAGCAGAGGGAAUGUGGCACCUUCGGGUGUGUUAUAGCCCUUUGUCAUAUGUGGCGGUUGGGACUGAGGG
RNAcentral lists this ribosomal RNA (513 nucleotides) under Amanita fulva. Its description in RNAcentral is "eukaryotic LSU rRNA". It matches the Rfam family "Eukaryotic large subunit ribosomal RNA", at positions 97 to 593 of the family's 3401-position model. The record is from RNAcentral. Lineage: Eukaryota; Fungi; Basidiomycota; Agaricomycetes; Agaricales; Amanitaceae.